ACCUACGGGAGGCAGCAGGGAAUUUUCGUCAAUGGGCGCAAGCCUGAACGAGCAAUGCCGCGUGAACGAGGAAGGUCUUCGGAUCGUAAAGUUCUGUUGAAGGGGAAAAAGAGCGGAGAGAGGAAAUGGUCUCCGAUUGAUAUUACCCUUCGAGGAAGUCACGGCUAACUACGUGCCAGCAGCCGCGGUAAUACGUAGGUGGCGAGCGUUAUCCGGAAUGAUUGGGCGUAAAGGGUGCGUAGGCGGCCUGCUAAGUCUGGAGUGAAAGGUACCGGCUCAACCGGUACAGGCUCUGGAAACUGGCG
Molecule: ribosomal RNA, 305 nt
Filed under: uncultured bacterium
Lineage: Bacteria
Description: bacterial SSU rRNA
Rfam family: Bacterial small subunit ribosomal RNA
Source: RNAcentral